Molecule: ribosomal RNA, 253 nt
Filed under: uncultured bacterium
Lineage: Bacteria
Description: partial 16S ribosomal RNA
Rfam family: Bacterial small subunit ribosomal RNA
Source: RNAcentral
UACGUAGGGGGCUAGCGUUGUCCGGAAUCAUUGGGCGUAAAGCGCGCGUAGGCGGCCCGGUAAGUCCGCUGUGAAAGUCGGGGGCUCAACCCUCGGAUGCCGGUGGAUACUGUCGGACUAGAGUGCGGAAGAGGCGAGUGGAAUUCCUGGUGUAGCGGUGAAAUGCGCAGAUAUCAGGAGGAACACCAAUUGCGAAGGCAGCUCGCUGGGACGUGACUGACGCUGAGACGCGAAAGCGUGGGGAGCAAACAGG